AGGGUUUGAUUAUGGCUCAGAGUUAACGCUGGCAUCGUGCAUAACACAUGCAAGUCGAACGGGACUUACUUUGGUAGCAAUACCGAAGUAAGUUUAGUGGCAGACGGGUGAGUAAUACAUAAGGAAUCUACCUCUGAGUGGGGAAUAACAGUCCGAAAGGAUUGCUAAUACCCCAUAACAUGUUUGAGUGGCAUCACUUAAACAUCAAAGAUUUAUCGCUUGGAGAGGAUCUUAUGGUCUAUCAGCUAGUUGGUAGGGUAACGGCCUACCAAGGCGACGACGGAUAGCCGGCCUGAAAGGGCGACCGGCCACAAGGGCACUGAGACACGGGCCCU
RNAcentral lists this ribosomal RNA (335 nucleotides) under uncultured bacterium. Its description in RNAcentral is "bacterial SSU rRNA". It matches the Rfam family "Bacterial small subunit ribosomal RNA", at positions 8 to 334 of the family's 1533-position model. The record is from RNAcentral.